Molecule: non-coding RNA, 227 nt
Filed under: Hymenobacter sedentarius
Lineage: Bacteria; Pseudomonadati; Bacteroidota; Cytophagia; Cytophagales; Hymenobacteraceae
Source: RNAcentral
GUAUCUUUGCCCCGCCAAGGUGCCAACCCCCAAUCGCGGGGCGCGGCUGAAAAGGGAAUCCGGUUCAAGGCCGGAGCUGUCCCCGCAACUGUACGCUUCACAUCGGGGUGGGCCCCGCACGCCACUGUUCACGGUUGGUUUUCGCUUUGAAAACCAACUCAAUUGGAUGGGAAGGCGGCCCACUCGGCGAAGCAAGCCAGGAGACCUGCCCGGGCAUUCACAGGUUC